AUGUCUCGCCACCACCACCACGACCCGGCCCCGCCGCCCUGCUGCUCCUGCUGCGCCUGCGCCUGCGGCUGCUCCCCGCCGGCCCCCGCCCCGGCGCCGUGCGGCUACUACCCCGCGCCGCCUCCCCAGCCGGCGCCCGCGUCGGACCAGCUCCUCCACGCCAUCGCCGCGCAUCUCCUGCUAAGCUCCGCUCCCCCGCCUCCCACGCCGCCCCAGGCCCAACCGCCGCCCCAGCCCCACCCGCAGCACCAGCCCCACCCUCAGCCGCCGCCGAAUCCCGCCGCGCACCACGCGAAUCUCUACGCCUCCUACGCUUACCAGUACCAGCACCAGCAGCAGCCGGGAUCCGCCCCCCACGCGGCCUAUCCCCAGCCGCCCGCGGCCGCCCCUGCGCCGCCGCCGCCGCAGCAUCAGCACCAGCAGCCGAACCCGCCCGACCACGGCCAGCUCCUGCUCCACUCUCUCCUGCGCCGCGUGGCCGCGCUCGAGACGACCUUGCCGCACUGCUUCCCCUCCCCUCCCGCGCCGCACCCCCAGCAGCCCAACCCUCGCCGGCACCACCGCGCGGGCGCGCACCAGGAGGGCCCGCGCUCGCGCUCGCCCUCGCCCCCGCCGCGUCGCGCGCGCCGGGGGCCGCAGCCGCCGACCGAGAGGGAGCUCGCGGCGCGCACCAUCCAGGAGCACUUCCGGCGCUUCCUGGCGCGGCGCUCCCGCACGCUGCGCCAGCUCAAGGAGCUCGCCAUGCUCCGCUCCAAGGCCGCGUCUCUCCGGGCGUCCCUCUCCGGCUCCGGCCGCCGCCGGUGCAAGGACCCGAUGGCUAUCUCGGAGGCCGCCCUGGGCAUGCUCUACCGCCUCGACGGGAUCCAGGGAGGGGACCCCAUGAUCCGGGAGGGGAAGCACGCCGUGAGCCGGGAGCUCGGCAGGAUACUGGAGUUCGUUGACAAGGUGCUCCUCAAAGAGCAGGAGGAGAUGGGCAUGGAUGGCGCAUUCGACGAUUAUCCUGAAGGUUGUCAUGGGAUGAAUCGCCCAACUGUGAACAGGAAGGUAGGUUUCCGCGGUAAUGAGGACAACACCGAGGCUGAUGAGAGCUCUGAGAGCUCGAGUUCUACCGAGGCUGCUGAGACGAAGGCUGCAAACAGCAAGAAGAGUGCCAAUGGCAAGCCUGGGCUUGCAGCCCCAGUGCCUGUACACAUGGAGUCAAGGAGAACUGGAGGGGAAAUGUGA
RNAcentral lists this ribosomal RNA (1224 nucleotides) under Triticum aestivum (bread wheat). RNAcentral describes it as "partial small subunit ribosomal RNA". Lineage: Eukaryota; Viridiplantae; Streptophyta; Magnoliopsida; Poales; Poaceae. The record is from RNAcentral.